This is a non-coding RNA of Heterocephalus glaber (naked mole-rat), 1748 nucleotides long. NCBI's taxonomy places the organism in Eukaryota, Metazoa, Chordata, Mammalia, Rodentia, Bathyergidae. The record is from RefSeq and is a predicted model, not a curated record.
ACAUCCUCCCUGGGAUAACCCCUUUUCUGCAGGAAAGCUAGAGAAACCUCUUCCUCCUUCUGUCCCCAGGAUGGGAGGUUGUGGAACCCUGGCCGACAACUGAAUCCCUGGAAGAAACAGCCCUCUUUCCCAAAGACUAAAAUAGAGUAAAUGAAUGCUUUCUUCACAUGGCCAGCAACAUCCUCUCUCCCUCUCCCCUAUUCCCCAGAAGAAAGAUGAGUAUCUCAAUGUGGGGGGAAGAGGGAGGCAGAGGCUCCCACCCUCUGGGGAAGGCCUAUGUUGAGAUACAGACAAGCCAGACAUGGGAUUUACAGUCAGCGGCACCUCCACCCAACCUGGCCCCUAGAAGCAUCAGUUAAAUCUUGGCAGAAAUGGACAGGCACUCCCAGGCCGCUUCGGAGGAGGGAGCUAGAUGGAUGGUGAGUGGCACUUUAGGGCCACUGGCCUGCAUGGCCUGUGGCCUAGGGUCCCUUCUCUGCCAGUGUUGCCAACACAGCCCCAAGGAGCUGUCCACCUGCCAUCUCUGGGACACCCGGAAACCUACAACAGGAGGGUCUGAGAUGUAGAAGCGCCCACGCCUGCCUCAAGGCCUAUCUGUACACCUCUGUCUCCACACAAGAACCAAGGCAGCCAUCUGUUCACCUCUCAAGCUCAGGUCAAUAUGUGGGGUGGGGGUUCCCUCAGACAAAGAAACAUUCUCUGUUUUUGUUAUUGUGCUUCUUCUAAAAUAAAAUAAAAAAUUAAAAAAUAUAUAUUUAUCCUUGGCAAGAAAGAAUUCCCUGAGAGUGGAGGGAGUGGAAAUAAUAACUAAUAAGACAGUAUUCCAUUUUCUGGCCUCUGGGAGAAAAUGUUUAUUUAUUUUAUUUUGAGGGGGCCGAGGGAAUCUGAACUUUUAGAGAGUGCUGUGAUUUACUAGAGGGAGGAGGCAAAGACUCAGAGCCACAAGCAAUUGGUGGGAAACUAGGCCUCAAAGCAGAAAAUGAAAAGUCUAUCUGGGGGAAGAUUUUUAAAUAAGUGGGUCAGAGGGACUGAGCAGAGAUGAGACGAUCAAUCUUAGCCCCCUGACAGCUCCCUCCGAUUGCAUCAAAGAAUUUGGCUCUUUGGGAAAGCAGAAGGAACAGCCGAAAUUCCACAUCCCUUAAAAAGGCCUGAGGGAGGGGGUGGCAAAAAGAGAAAGGUGAUUCUGGGAGAGCCAGGAAACAGAUGGGAAAUGGGGACAGAGGGAAGGCGCUGAGCUGGGUGGAAAGUUUGCCCGAGAACUCCCACGGCUCGGGCCUCCCCUCCCCCUCCUGGCUCUCGGUCGCCCGCCCUGCCGGGCGGAGAAGGCUGCUUAGCAGGGAAAUGGCAUCUCGGCCUGGAGCUGGAACUAGAAACUUUCUGUCAGUGUAACAUCCGCGUGGGUGGUGACCCAAUGGUGGUUGGGUUUCAGGUCACGUGACGACUUCUUUGUAGCUCCGGAAGAGGAUUGCGGAGUUUAGGAGAAUGAGUGGGGGAAAUAUCAAGAGUUGGGGGCUAACCCAGAGAUGUAAGGUGUGUUAGUUUGGGCGCUUCUUGGAUUCUACCCUGAGGAGGAGGCGCGUGGUGAGAGGAGAGAUCUUGAUCUGGCGCUCGCUGAGGUUCAGCAAGUUGGCCAUCUCCACGCGGCGCGGCCGGCACAGGUAGCGGUUGAAGUGGAACUCCUUCUCCAGCUCCACCAGCUGCGCGCUCGUGUACGCCGUGCGCGCGCGCUUGGACGCCGCUGACCCCGG